Molecule: ribosomal RNA, 253 nt
Filed under: uncultured bacterium
Lineage: Bacteria
Description: partial 16S ribosomal RNA
Rfam family: Bacterial small subunit ribosomal RNA
Source: RNAcentral
UACGGGGGGAGCAAGCGUUGUUCGGAUUUACUGGGCGUAAAGGGCGCGUAGGCGGCACCGCAAGUCGACUGUGAAAUCUCCGGGCUUAACCCGGAAAGGUCAGCCGAUACUGCGGGGCUAGAGUGCAGAAGGGGCAACUGGAAUUCUCGGUGUAGCGGUGAAAUGCGUAGAUAUCGAGAGGAACACCUGCGGCGAAGGCGGGUUGCUGGGCUGACACUGACGCUAAUGCGCGAAAGCUAGGGGAGCGAACGGG